Molecule: ribosomal RNA, 1318 nt
Filed under: Tipula cockerelliana
Lineage: Eukaryota; Metazoa; Arthropoda; Insecta; Diptera; Tipulidae
Description: 16S ribosomal RNA
Rfam family: Archaeal large subunit ribosomal RNA (bases 882-1247)
Source: RNAcentral
UAAAAAAAUCUUAUUAAAUUUGUUAUUUAAUUAUUAAUUUAAUAAAAAUAAUUUUAUUAGAAAGGUUUUUGUAGUUUUUAGUGAUAAAAUAAUUUUAAUUGUAGUGUAUUAGUAUUGUGAAAGAAAGAUGAAAUAAAUUGAAAAUAAAUUAAUUUAAAAGAAAAUUUUAUUUAUUGUACCUUGUGUAUCAGGGUUUAUUAAUUAAAAAAUAUUAAUAAAUAUUUUUCUCGAAUUUAAGAGAGUUAAUUAAUUAUUUUAGUUAUUGUGGCAUAAAUAUUAAAAAUAAUUAAUUAGAAAUGAAAUGUUAUUCGUUCUUAAAUAUAUCUAGUUUUUUAAGAAAUAAAUUUAAUUUAUAUAUUUUUAAUUGUAAUAAUUUAAUUAGUUAAUUUAUUAUUUUAAAAUAUAAAUAUUUUAGGGGAUAAGCUUUAAAAUAAAUUUUUAUAAAAUUUAAUGUUAAAAAAUAAUUAUAGGUUUAGAAAUAGCCAUUAAUUGUAAGUAUGUUAUAAUAUAUUUUUGAUAGAUAUUAUUUAUUAAAUUUUUAAAUUUUUUAUUAAAAUAUUUACUUUAAUAAAAUAAGUGAAGGAAUAAUGAUAAAAUUAGUAUAUUUUAAUUUAUAAAUAAAUAAAAAUGAAAGGUUUUUUAAAGGAACUCGGCAAAUUAAAUAUUCGCCUGUUUAUCAAAAACAUGUCUUUUUGGUUUUAUUUAAAGUCUAACCUGCCCACUGAAAUUAUUUAAAGGGCCGCGGUAUUUUGACCGUGCAAAGGUAGCAUAAUCAUUAGUUUUUUAAUUGAAAGCUUGUAUGAAUGGUUGGACGAAAUAUUGACUGUCUUUAUUAAAUUUAUAAUAGAAUUUAACUUUUUUGUUAAAAGGCAAAAAUUAGUUUAAAGGACGAGAAGACCCCAUAGAGCUUUAUAAUUUUAUAUUAUAAUUUGUAAAGAAUUAUUUGAAUUUUAUUAAAAAGAUUAUUUUGUUGGGGUGACAAUAAAAUUUAUUGAACUUUUAUUAUUUUAUUACAUUGAUUUAUGGUUAAUUGAUCCAAUUAUAUUGAUUAAAAAAUUAAGUUACCUUGGGGAUAACAGCGUAAUUUUUUUAAAGAGUUCAUAUCGACAAAAAAGAUUGCGACCUCGAUGUUGGAUUAAGAAGUAAUUUUAGGUGAAGAAGUUUAAAGUAUUGGGUCUGUUCGACCUUUAAAUUCUUACAUGAUCUGAGUUCAGACCGGCGUAAGCCAGGUUGGUUUCUAUCCUUAAAUAAUUGAAAUAUUUUAGUACGAAAGGACCAAAUAUUUGAUAUAAUAAUAUUUUAUUUUAUGAAUAUAAAU